This is a regulatory RNA element of Lottia gigantea (owl limpet), 114 nucleotides long. It matches the Rfam family "Potassium channel RNA editing signal". Rfam says of the family: This family represents a group of sequences related to the human potassium channel Kv1.1 hairpin element which directs the efficient modification of an adenosine to inosine by an adenosine deaminase acting on RNA (ADAR). The ADAR modification causes an isoleucine/valine recoding event which lies in the ion-conducting pore of the potassium channel. Lineage: Eukaryota; Metazoa; Mollusca; Gastropoda; Lottiidae. The record is from Rfam.
GUAGGUUACGGGGAUAUGAGACCUAUUGGGGUGUGGGGCAAGUUAGUGGGAUCCCUGUGCGCUAUUGCUGGUGUCUUAACUAUAGCUCUCCCUGUUCCAGUCAUUGUGUCAAAC